Molecule: long non-coding RNA, 519 nt
Filed under: Neodiprion pinetum (white pine sawfly)
Lineage: Eukaryota; Metazoa; Arthropoda; Insecta; Hymenoptera; Diprionidae
Description: uncharacterized LOC124213004
Source: RNAcentral
ACACUUUCAUUUCUUCACGCUGCCGAAGAACGAAGCGCAUGCGGCGGAAUGGAUAAGAUUUUCAGGACGAGAGAAAACCAUCAACCGGAAAGAUUUUCGUAUCUGCAGCAAACAUUUUCCGCCAGACAAAAUUUGGAAACUGAAACCUCGUCCUCUUUAGACCCACGAUGCUGUGCCAUCAUUGUACGGCCUAAAAAACGGAUCGGUUUCGAAGUCGUCCAGCAUCGAAGACAAAACUUCAGGAGCGACUGUUGACAAUUUGCCACAGGAAAAUGAAGUGGUUCUUCAGAAUUUGGUAUGUGGCAGUAGUUUCGGUAAGAUUGUAAAACAGCAGUAUCAAUAACUUCUAAAACAAUCGUGAGUUUUUAGAGCUAUUGAAGGCUACAAUUUGUACAUACAGACAUCUAUUCUCGUUUAGUUAAAAAUAUCUAUUCAAUCAGAUCAAGUAUUUAGCAUUAUAAUAUACAGUAUACGAAGCGAAGUACAAAAAGACAAAAAAAAUAUGAAAAAUGACAAAGA